UACCUUGAACAUGUUUGAUAGACAUAGUUUUUCGGGUUUAUAAUAGUUCAUUUUUAAAAACCUAACCUAAGAAGAUGUGUGCGUGCCGAAGAGAAACUUUGAUGGGCUUUAUUUGCAUGGGAGAGGGCACCAUAGGAUCUGGACGGACAGAUGAGAUCAGCAAGAGGGGGAAGAUCAAUCCGUGGGAGGUCCAUGUCGACCAAUGAUAAUGCGACCUCUCGAUCCGGAGAGGACCGCGGCCUCUUCUCCGGCGAGGACGGGGCCGUACGUGAGGAAGGCGCGCUGGACCGCAGGCCUCGCUGCCUACGGAUCUGACCGCGCCUGGCCUCUCCUGGCGGCGGCGUGCUCUCCGAGAAGAAGAGGGAGCGCACGCCACCACCGCGCCAGAGGAGGAGACGGGGUUGGAUAUGCGUAAGGAGGAGGAAGAGAAGGAGUCCGUGGAGCUGGACCUCGCCAUGAACGGUACCCCUGCCUGCUUCCACCCCGAGGGCCGGGCUGCUACUCAAGUGCUGGUUCAAGGUGUCAUGCAUGGGGUAACUAGAAGUUAAUCCUCUUCUAAUUUGCUUCUCCUCGAUUGAUUGCGCGCCGGGAGAGGCCGUGGUGGUCACUGCUUCCUCCGUCCUGUUUGCAUCGCCUCCGCCAACAGUGCGCCACUUGCUUGCUGUACGUACAGGCUGCUGGAUUCACAGAAGAUGCUUGUUCGAGGUGUCACGGCGUCGGACGCGUAGGAGUAGGAGCCCGUGGAGCUCGACCUCAGCAUGAACGGCACCAUCCACCCCUGAUUCCACCCCGAGGGCUGGGCUGCUAGAUUUACUGAAGAUACUUGUUCGAGGUGUCACGGGGUAGUAAGUUGAUCCUCCUUUGGUUUGCUUGAGGGGUAGUAGCCCGCCUUCUCGUCGAUUGCCCGCUGGGAGAGGCGGUGGUGGUCACUGCUUCCUCCGUCCUGUUUGCACCGCCUCCUCCAACACUGCACCACUUGCUGUACGUACAGACCGCUAGAGAUUGACUGAAGAUGCUUGUUCGAGGUGUCAUGGGGUAAUUAGUUAAUCAUCCUCUGGGUUGCUUGAGGGGGACAAGCCCACCUUCUCCUCGAUUGUUUGCUGGGAGAAGCGGUGGUGGUCACUGCUUCCUGCGUCGUGUUUACAUCGCCUCCACCAACAUUGCCACUUGUUGUACGUACAGCACCCCCGGUGAGCUUGGCCUUGUGGACGGGGACUAAAGCAGGAUAGCUCGUCACCGAGGGUGCUCGCGUGGCUGAUGGUGGCCGUGACGAGGGUGCUCAAGGUUGACGCCACAUCCACCCAAGACCUAGCCCGCCUUCUCCAGACCCGCGCACUGCGUGAUGAGGGGGCAGCCACUGCUUCCUCCACCAUGUUCCACUGACACCGUGCUGCUUGCUUGUUGUAUGUACAGAUGGGAUUGGGCCAACGUUACUAGUCCUCGGGCAACAAGGAAUAGCAGGUGUAAGCCAUCAGUCUUCUGUUUUCCAGAACAACAAUCUUGCCUUCGUAGUAUGAGCUCUGAACAGCAAGGCCCCAACCAAGCCCAUGAUGGCUAGACAGUACAGCAAUGCAUCAUCAUUGGACUAUGCUGCCAUUCUUAGUUCAACCUUCUGUGUAGUUUUCACUUGGUCUCAUGUUCAUCCAGCUCUCCACUGUCACCGUUGCUGGUGACGUUGUGGUUCUGCCUUGCCUACGAAUAGUAACAAGAUGUGGCUCUUUUUCCAAUCUAAUUUUCUGCAUUCUCGGUAGUGGUGGUUGCCUCUUCGUCGUUUCAGGUGGCUGGGGUUCUGGCAUGGCGUGCCUGAUGUUGCCCGUGCUCCCGUUCCUAUGCCCGUGAAGUUGUACGGCUGCUUCGAUCAUGUACAAAAUCAUAAAUUGAGACGGGAUUGGGCUAACAUUACUAGUCCUCGGGCAACAACGAAUAGCAGGUGUAAGCCAUCACAGUCUUCUGUUUUCCAAAACAGCAGUCUUGCCUUCGUUGAGUGAGUAUGAGCUCUGGACAGCGAUGCCCCAACCAAGCCCAUGAUGGCCAGACAGUACAAUAAUGCAUCCUCACUGGACUAUGUCACCAAUCUUUAGUAUCAUCUUUCUGUGUAGGUUCCACUCGGUCUCAUCUUCGUCCAGCUCUCCACCGUCACCGUGUGAUGGCGAUGUUGUUCCACCUCGGCUACAAACAGUAAGAUGUAUGACUGUGGCAACUUAGGUCCAAUUGGCCCAUUGCCAUCGAGAGUGAUGAUGAUGAUGUGGUUACCCUCAAAAGUCGCAAGGCACUGAGGAGAGAAGUACCCCAAGAGCUGCAUGAAAUGGCAAGAGUAGCAGGAUGUUAAAGCAACUGGGGCGCUUUGUUUGCAUUGAGUGUUGAAACACCCACAAUAUGGAGAUAUUGACACUGCAGGAGAGGUGCAUCGAUUGUCCGUGAUGUUCAGACUCAAGAUCUUCCUGAAGGAGGACGGCGUGGUGAACCUCGAGACCAUCAUCGCGGGCGAUGAGUAACAGAAGCUGGCCAUGGUGGAUUAGAUUCAUCAGCAUAGUUUGUUUGUUGUGGUGUUGGAUUAGCUUUUUCUUGUGAGAAAUUUUUUGGUAAGAUGAUUUGGAGUGCACGCAUUUAUUUGAACGGAUUCAUUCUUGAUUGAUUUGAAUAGAUCUCAGGAAAUGAUCUGGAAAGGCCAUUCGGUCGAGUGGUGAUGUUGGUUUUGUCUCGAGGACACUCGUGACUUGUAAACUUUGCAUUGUAUUGUGCGACA
Long non-coding RNA from Triticum aestivum (bread wheat), 2746 nucleotides. RefSeq lists it as uncharacterized. NCBI's taxonomy places the organism in Eukaryota, Viridiplantae, Streptophyta, Magnoliopsida, Poales, Poaceae. The record is from RefSeq and is a predicted model, not a curated record. The transcript has 16 exons.